UACGGAGGGUGCAAGCGUUAUCCGGAUUUACUGGGUUUAAAGGGUGCGCAGGCGGAUUUUUAAGUUAGUGGUGAAAGCCCGGAGCUCAACUCCGGAAUUGCCAUUGAUACUGGAAGUCUCGAGUACAGUCGAGGUGGGCGGAAUGAGUCAUGUAGCGGUGAAAUGCUUAGAUAUGACUCAGAACACCGAUUGCGAAGGCAGCUUGCUAGACUGUAACUGACGCUCAGGCACGAAAGCGUGGGUAGCGAACAGG
This 253-nucleotide ribosomal RNA is filed under the name uncultured bacterium. RNAcentral describes it as "partial 16S ribosomal RNA". It matches the Rfam family "Bacterial small subunit ribosomal RNA", at positions 524 to 776 of the family's 1533-position model. The record is from RNAcentral.